This 307-nucleotide long non-coding RNA is filed under the name Heterocephalus glaber (naked mole-rat). RNAcentral's name for it is "lncRNA (ENSHGLG00100042747.1)". The record is from RNAcentral. Lineage: Eukaryota; Metazoa; Chordata; Mammalia; Rodentia; Bathyergidae.
CUCAGGAUCCGGGCUUUUCUUUGUUGAUGAUCACCAGCUUUCUCAAUUUCCGGAUGCGCUUGAUUGUGGAUUUCAUCUUCUAAUGCCCACAGUGGCUCUCCUCAUUCCAACAUGGAGAGGACAUCUGGCCCGCUGGCUUGAAACACAAAGCUUCCAGAACCUGAGAAAGAAGAGGCCACUGAUGGGGCACCCUCUGAGUGACAGGGAGCAGCUGUUCUCACCCACUGACACCAGGCCAUUGUAGUUCUCCAGCAUCACAUCCUGGUACAAGUCCUUCUGAGCAGGGCCCAGGAGCUGCCACUCCUCC